UGCCUUGUCGUUAUCUAUACAUGCAGUCGAACGAACUCUGGUAUUGAUUGGUGCUUGCAUCAUGAUUUACAUUUGAGUGAGUGGCGAACUGGUGAGUAACACGUGGGAAACCUGCCCAGAAGCGGGGGAUAACACCUGGAAACAGAUGCUAAUACCGCAUAACAACUUGGACCGCAUGGUCCGAGUUUGAAAGAUGGCUUCGGCUAUCACUUUUGGAUGGUCCCGCGGCGUAUUAGCUAGAUGGUGGGGUAACGGCUCACCAUGGCAAUGAUACGUAGCCGACCUGAGAGGGUAAUCGGCCACAUUGGGACUGAGACACGGCCCAAACUCCUACGGGAGGCAGCAGUAGGGAAUCUUCCACAAUGGACGAAAGUCUGAUGGAGCAACGCCGCGUGAGUGAAGAAGGGUUUCGGCUCGUAAAACUCUGUUGUUAAAGAAGAACAUAUCUGAGAGUAACUGUUCAGGUAUUGACGGUAUUUAACCAGAAAGCCACGGCUAACUACGUGCCAGCAGCCGCGGUAAUACGUAGGUGGCAAGCGUUUGUCCGGAUUUAUUGGGCGUAAAGCGAGCGCAGGCGGUUUUUUAAGUCUGAUGUGAAAGCCUUCGGCUCAACCGAAGAAGUGCAUCGGAAACUGGGAAACUUGAGUGCAGAAAAGGACAGUGGAACUCCGUGUGUACCGGUGAAAUGUGUAAAUAUAUGGAACAAGAAUCAGUGGCGAAGGGGGUCUGUCUGGGGGUGUAUCUGACACUGUUGC
This 755-nucleotide ribosomal RNA is filed under the name Lactiplantibacillus plantarum. RNAcentral describes it as "bacterial SSU rRNA". It matches the Rfam family "Bacterial small subunit ribosomal RNA", at positions 37 to 752 of the family's 1533-position model. The record is from RNAcentral. Lineage: Bacteria; Bacillati; Bacillota; Bacilli; Lactobacillales; Lactobacillaceae.